UGGGGAAUAUUGGACAAUGGGCGCAAGCCUGAUCCAGCAAUGCCGCGUGUGUGAAGAAGGCCUGCGGGUUGUAAAGCACUUUCAGUGGGGAGGAAGGCCUCGGCGUUAAUAUCGUCGAGGAUUGACGUUACCUACAGAAGAAGCACCGGCUAACUCUGUGCCAGCAGCCGCGGUAAUACAGAGGGUGCAAGCGUUAAUCGGAAUUACCGGGCGUAAAGGGCGCGUAGGUGGUUAAUUAAGUCAGAUGUGAAAUCCCCGGGCUUAACCUGGGAAUUGCAUUUGAAACUGAUUGGCUAGAGUACGGGAGAGGGAAGUGGAAUUUCCGGUGUAGCGGUGAAAUGCGUAGAUAUCGGAAGGAACACCAGUGGCGAAGGCGACUUCCUGGCCCGUUACUGACACUGAGGCGCGAAAGCGUGGGGAGCGAACA
RNAcentral lists this ribosomal RNA (427 nucleotides) under uncultured bacterium. Its description in RNAcentral is "bacterial SSU rRNA". It matches the Rfam family "Bacterial small subunit ribosomal RNA", at positions 355 to 774 of the family's 1533-position model. The record is from RNAcentral.